UCACCCUAGCCCUGGGCCCCGCCCCCGGAGGGCUGCCCCGUCAUGUGCCUGUCCCGCUCUCGCACAGAGAUACCUCCCUCCCCUCCCGCCCCUUCCCUCUAGGGCUCUCCUCCUCUCCCUCCCCACAGCCCCCUGCCCGUGCCGAGAGAGGAGAGACGAGGUCCUGGCCUUUUCCGUCAGGCGGACAGCGGGCAGCCCCGGCCCGGGGUCCUCACGGGAGCUUUAAAUACCGAGGCCCCAGCACGGACCGCGCCACGUGGAGCAGAGCGGGGCUGGUUGGGGCCACGUGCGGGCUUGCGAGCGCUGCUCAGCAGUGACCCCGCCAUGGACAAGUGGUGGGGUGCCCAGGCGGGGCUGCUGUCCCUGAGGAGAUCCCCACCGUGAUCUGACCUGGGGGAGGCUGGAGGAAUGGAGCUGUGAUACUGCCCUGCAGAGAUCGGUGGGCACUGGGGUGCAGUGAGCCCCCUGGCUGGUGCUGUGCAGUGACUGUGGGGUGGUGCUAGGGUUGGGGGGGGUAAAAAUUCGCCAAGACUAUGACCUGCCCCAUACUUCUGCAAGGACCUCCCUGCAGCCCCCAUGACUGGUGCCAAGACCCCACAUGUGCUGAGGAGCCAGGAUUCCUGGGUUCUUUUUCCAGUUGCCCCUGGCCCUGAGCCCUGCUGAUCGGGGGGUGUGGGGUUCACGUACUCUCCUUGCUGAUCCCCCUGCAGCCCCUGUCCUGCCAAUAAAGUCAUGUUAGUCUGAA
Gopherus flavomarginatus (Mexican gopher tortoise) is the source of this 745-nucleotide long non-coding RNA. RefSeq lists it as uncharacterized. The transcript is spliced from 4 exons. Lineage: Eukaryota; Metazoa; Chordata; Testudines; Testudinidae. The record is from RefSeq and is a predicted model, not a curated record.